RNAcentral lists this ribosomal RNA (296 nucleotides) under uncultured bacterium. Its description in RNAcentral is "partial 16S ribosomal RNA". It matches the Rfam family "Bacterial small subunit ribosomal RNA", at positions 475 to 776 of the family's 1533-position model. The record is from RNAcentral.
CUAUGCGCCUUGCCAGCCCGCUCAGGUGUGCCAGCAGCCGCGGUAAUACGGAGGGUGCAAGCGUUAAUCGGAAUUACUGGGCGUAAAGCGCACGCAGGCGGUUUGUUAAGUCAGAUGUGAAAUCCCCGGGCUCAACCUGGGAACUGCAUCUGAUACUGGCAAGCUUGAGUCUCGUAGAGGGGGGUAGAAUUCCAGGUGUAGCGGUGAAAUGCGUAGAGAUCUGGAGGAAUACCGGUGGCGAAGGCGGCCCCUGGACGAAGACUGACGCUCAGUGCGAAAGCGUGGGAGCAAACAGG